AGGACCCUGAAAUUCCUCGUUUCGCUGUAAUUGGCGUGAAAUUCUUCAUUUCGCACUUAAAAACAUUAACUCCACUCUCCCAAAUAGCCAAAUCCAACGGCUACAAUUUCACUUCCCUAUAACUAGGGUCAGUCACCCCAAUACUCGCUUUUAAAAAAGGAGAAAUGCUAGUGGCAGUUGAGCCCCUAGCAUUCCUCUUAAAUCUCCUUUAUAGACCAAAAGUCGUUCCCCGUUUUUUGUAUUUUUUUCCUUCUCUCUCGAAAGGAAAAGAAACCCUCGAUUUCAGAAAGAGAUUGCAAAAUCGUCGAAGCUGGUAUCGUCCGAUGAAGCCCUAUCCAACGGCUUCAAUUCAUCAGAAGAGGAGCGAAUCGACGACCAGAUCAACGACGACGAAGACGACGAAGAAGAGCUCAAAGCCGUUGCUCCCUCUGCCGCUGCCUCCGUCUAAGACGAUGACGCCGCAGCUGAUGAUAACACUGACGAUGCUGACGAGCUAAUUUUUUUAUUUUCCCCUCUUUAACGUGCUCUCUUUAUUUUGCUUUCGAAUUUUUACUAUUUUGGUUGUCGGAUCUAGCUUUUUGCUCGUUAUUUCUAGUUUGGGUUUGCUAAUGAUCGUAGAAUUUGUCUUUACACUUUUGAAUAAUUUUUGCUUCUAUAGUUUUUAAUAGGUUGCUGAGAAGCUUAAUUUAAACUCUAAUGUUAUUUAUAUUUAGAUUUUAUGAUGUUUGAGUCAUUUCUUUUCUGUAUAGGAUAAGUCUAACGGGGCUGAUAAGCAAGAAAAGGAGAGGCUAAAAGAUAUGUAUAAACUGAAGAAGAAGGAGAUUCAGGAUAUAUUGGAUGCUGAAAAUGCUGCCAUUGAUGCUGAUGGGGUGCAUAUUCUAUGUAAAGGUUCGCAUUCAGCUAAUUUUAAGCGUAAUAUAUGGUUCACUAAUGUUUUGUUUCAUGGCAGAAUAAAUGGCGGAAAGGGUGGUUGAAGUAUGUUUUGCAGCAAACGGAGUUGUUUGCUAAUUUUGCUAAAGUUGACCAAUCCGACAUCACAAAAGAAGGUGAAAGGAAGGCUCUGUCAUGCAUAAAAAAUAACUGAAGAUGAAGAAGAUGAAGAGUGCCUCAAGGAAUAAGUAGAUGGUUUUUCCACUAAUUAUCGUAUUCUUAUUACGGGUACGUUGCUUCAGAAUAAUCUCCAUGAGCUUUGGUCUCUUCUCAACUUUUUUACUGCAGGAGAUUUUUAGUUGAGCUGAAAAUUUUGAUGAGUGGUUUCAGAUUUCUGGUGAAAAUGACCAGCAAGAAGUUCAAUAAUUUCACAA
Molecule: non-coding RNA, 1304 nt
Organism: Durio zibethinus
Lineage: Eukaryota; Viridiplantae; Streptophyta; Magnoliopsida; Malvales; Malvaceae
Source: RefSeq, a predicted model, not a curated record